This is a microRNA precursor of Oryza sativa Japonica Group (Japanese rice), 196 nucleotides long. It matches the Rfam family "MIR812 microRNA precursor family". NCBI's taxonomy places the organism in Eukaryota, Viridiplantae, Streptophyta, Magnoliopsida, Poales, Poaceae. The record is from Rfam.
UAUAAAUGUAAGUAUCACUUUCUACGUCUAACUUUAAUUGUCCGUCUUAUUUAAAAUUUUUUUAUAAUUAAUAUAUUUUAUUAUUAUAAGAUGAUAAAACAUGAAUAGUACUUUACCCGUGACUUAUGUUUUAAUUUUUUUAAAAAAUAAGAUAAACUAUUAAAGUUGGGCGUGGAAAACUACGACUACAUUUAAA